This 119-nucleotide ribosomal RNA is filed under the name Pteropus alecto (black flying fox). Lineage: Eukaryota; Metazoa; Chordata; Mammalia; Chiroptera; Pteropodidae. The record is from RNAcentral.
GUCUAUGGUCAUGCCACCCUGAACACGCCCGAUCCCGUCUGAUCUUGGAAGCUACACAGGGUCAGGCCUGGUUAGUACUUGGAUGAGAGACCACCUAGGAAGACCGGGGGUAAAAAAAA